AACUGAAAACAAAUUUCUUUCUAGCAGUCAUAUUUUUGGAGGGUAUGGAUAAACUGAUCGAUACAGCUCGGCAUAUACCAUAUUACAUUGAAGGUGUAGGACGUUUCCUGUCAUAUUCUACUCUCGGCGACAGACACUGGAGCCAAAUCGAAAUGCUCCUCCAUGUUAGACUUCGUAUUGUAGCCCUACUAUGUAAACUAUACCUUAUUGGUAUUGGACUUGUAUGUCAUCAUUAUAUAUAUGUGAUAGGCCACCCCUUUGAGGGUUGAGCCAGUUCCCUCCAAACCUACAUUUUCUGAUGUGUGGGGUCCGGCACAAACAUCUGUUAGUGGUCACAACUAUUAUGUCAGUUUUGUUGAUGCCUAUAGUCGCUUCACUUGGUUUUAUCUUCUUAAGUGCAAAUCUGAUGUGUUUGAUAUAUUCAUACAGUUUCAAUUGCAUGUUGACCGUCUACUCAAGCAUACAAUUAUCCAUGUUCAAUCAGAUUGGGGGGGGGCAAAUAUCACAACCUUAACACCUUCUUUAAUAAGCUUGGGAUCUCUCAUCGUUUAUCAUGCCCGCAUACACAUCAGCAGAAUGGCGCUGUUGAGCGCAAACAUCGCCAUAUAGUUGAGACCAGCCUCGCACUUCUUGCUCAUGCUUCUGUACCCUUUCGUUUUUGGAGUGAUGCUUUUGCUACCGCGUGUUUUCUCAUUAACAGAUUACCUACGCGUGUUCUUAAUAUGAAAACUUCGAUUGAGCUUCUCUUAGGUGAAACUCCUGACUAUACCUUUUUUAAGGUGUUCGGGUGUGCCUGCUGGCCUCAUCUUCGUCCUUAUAAUGAUCGCAAAUUUGAGUUUCGCUCCAAAAAGUAUGUGUUCUUAGGGUAUAGUUCUCUCCAUAAAGGCUACAAGUGUCUCCAUGUCCCAACCAAUCGAGUCUACAUAUCUCGGGAUGUUGUUUCUGAUGAGACCGUCUUCCCCUUUUCUGCCAUGCCUCAGUCAUCCACCACAACACCUUCUAUGCAGUCAUCUCCUCUUAUGCCUGGCCAAUUUAAAGAUAUUGCAUAUUCGCCUGUGUUGUUACCUAAUCAUGGUGCAGGAAUUGGACGUGGAGCUCGCCUGGAACUCCUCCCUGACGGACCCGCCACAUCGCCUGUGGUGCACGUCGAUCGGCCGGUGCAUGCACCGCCUCCCGCCCUCGACCCCGCACCAGGCGCCCCGUCUACAAAUCGAGCCUGGGCCGGAGCCCAUGCUGGCUACUGCGACCGUGCCAGAGCCUGCGACGGCCUCCUCUGAGCAGUCUCCGUCGCCACCUCCUCGCCCGGACUCCCCUCCAUCGUCGCCAUCGCCAUCCGCGCGGGCGUCCUUGGUGCCUACUUCGCCCGAGUCUGCAGCGGCUCACACACCGCCGGGGCCUACGUCGCCUGGCCUGCUGUCGCCUGGUCCGCCGUCGCCCGGCCCGACGUCACCCGGUUCUUCUUCGUUGGAGUCCCCUGGACCAGCCUCACCUGCUCCGGACAUCCCGCCGGCCCCGGUGUUUGCUCCCCCGCGGCGUCCACACACUCGCAGCUGCAGUGGCAUUGUUCGUCCCAAGGAGCGCACCGAUGGCACGGUCACCUAUCUUGCUGCUUGCCUGGCUCAUGCUGUGGAUGAUCCAACCGCCAAACCACGCAGUUAUCAAGCCGCUAUGAGUAUUCCACACUGGAGGGCUGCUAUGGAACAAGAAUAUCACGCUCUUAUGAAGAAUAGACCUGGACACUUGUUCCCCCUCCGUCUCGCGUCAACAUCAUUGAUUCAAAGUGGGUGUUCAAGGUGAAGAAACAUGCAGAUGGUUCCAUUGAGCGCUACAAAGCGCGCCUCGUGGCUAAGGGCUUUAAACAGCGUUAGGGCCUGGACUAUGAGGAUACAUUCAGCCCAGUUGUCAAGCCUACCACUAUUCGACUUCUUCUGUCUCUGGCAGUUUCUCGCGGAUGGUCUCUCCGCCAGCUUGAUGUGCAGAACGCUUUUCUUCAUGGAUUGCUUGAAGAAGAGGUUUACAUGCGGCAGCCACCUGGAUUUGUUGAUCACACUCAGCCUCAUCAUCUCUGUCAUCUGACGAAGGCCAUAUAUGGACUACAGUAGGCUCCCCGUGCCUGGCAUGCUCGCCUGGCUUCAGCUCUACGCACUCAUGGGUUCAUUCCUUCGACGGUUGAUACUUCACUGUUCUUGUUUCAGCGACCGAGUGUGACCAUGUACCUCCUUGUGUAUGUGGAUGAUAUUGUCCUGGUGAGCUCAUCCCCGACGGCUGCUGAUGCUCUUGUGACUGCACUUGGUCGUGAUUUUGCAGUUAAGGAUUUGGGACAGCUUCAUUUCUUCCUGGGUAUUGAGGUCGCUCAUCAGUAUCGUGGCAGUUUGGCUCUCACCCAGAAGAAGUACUCUCUUGAUCUCUUGGACCGUGCUGGUAUGCUCAAGUGCAAGCCAUCGCCUACGCCCAUGUCCUCCACUGACACCCUUUCUGCUGCUGAUGGUGCUCUUCUCUCUCCUGAGGAUGCUACUGAGUACAGGAGUAUUGUUGGUGGCCUGCAGUAUCUGACGAUCACGCGUCCUGAUCUCUCCUUUGCGGUUAACAGGGUGUGCCAGUAUCUUCAUGCUCCCACUGAUGUACAUUGGUCUGCUGUGAAGCGCAUACUGCGUUAUGUGCGUCUCACUGUCUCCUUUGAUCUUCACCUGCGCCCCAGUUCCUCCGGAGUUCUUUCUGCAUUCUCUGAUGCUGAUUGGGCCGGGUGUCCAGAUGACAGGUGAUCCAUGGGGGGACAUGCUGUGUUCUUGGGUCCUAAUCUGAUCGCCUGGAGUGCACGCAAGCAAGCCACUGUUUCCCGCAGCAGCACAGAAGCUGAGUACAAGUCGGUUGCCAAUGCAACUGCUGAACUUAUAUGGAUUGAGUCCCUACUUCGAGAGCUAGGAGUUGCUCAGCCACAUCCUUCGGUCGUUUGGUGUGACAACAUCGGUGCUACGUUUCUGUCGUCAAACCCGGUGUUCCAUGCACGGACUAAACACAUUGAGAUUGACUAUCAUUUUGUAAGGGAACGUGUUGCACAUAAGCUACUACAAGUCAGGUUUAUCUCUUCAAAAGAUCAACUUGCGGACAUCUUCACCAAGCCUCUACCUUCUCACAUGUUUGAGGUCUGUAGGCGCAAUCUCAACCUCCUAAAUACUUCAGGAGUGAGUUGAGAUUGAGGGAGGGUGUUAGACUUCGUAUUGUAGCCCUACUGUGUAAACCAUACCUUAUUGGUAUUGGACUUGUAUGUCAUCAUUAUAUAUAUGUGAUAGGCCACCCCUUUGAGGGUUGAGCCAGUUCCCCCAAAACCUAGGUUUUACACUCCAGCACCGACAGUAUCUUCGGUGAGUGAAGACACCAUGAAGUCAGGCUUAACAUCUUCAGGCAAAGAAUCUUGGGUGUUGCGAGCAAUCAAGAUCAUCAAUUUGACUUGUCGUGGUGCGAGCGGAUGAGCGACAAGGGAUGAUCUGCAACGAGCCAAGACUGGAGAAGCACGGAAAACAAGGGUCAAGAUUAGGGAGAGAAUGUUAGAGUAAUCUUGUCUAGGUUAGUUAAUCUGUCCUUACAAGUUAGUUGUAGUUUGACUUGUACACGUUGUCUUAGCUGAAUCCUACUAAAGUUAGUAGAAGCUAGCGGUUUGUCAUUACCGUGUGUAGGCAGGUCAAGUAGUACGUGUGCAUGUCCAUGUACGACUACUAGUCAAGCUUGGUCUAGGUGUCCGGUUUGGAUUUAAAGUGGUGUCCGUAUACGUCUAGGUUUGAUUUAGGUCGGUAGCUUUAGGAUGCGGGUAUACGUGAUCACUGUAACACGUAGAGAAAACAAGAAAAUAAAAAGGAGAAACAAAGGGCACGACAAGAGCCCUUGACUACAAAAGUUUUUUGUGCGACCGUGAUGUGAUCGAUCCCGUGGGCAAAUCCCAACAUUAGGGGCCGUAUCGCCCUGUUUCGUCAAGUAGGCAAGUGAAUGUUCCUGCUCUCUUUCCACAAACGGUCUGCAAGGUUUUCAAAGGCAAGAGCACUAUGGAGAUUUCCUUUUCUGCUAUUAAUUCUCCCAUCUUGUAUUUACUUCUUCUUGUGUUAAAACAAGGUAGCCUGGGGAAUUGUAUUCUCCUAAGAGUUGGUCUAUGGGAAAGAAGAGCUCUGCAAAUAAGUAAAGCGGGUGGCCUUGGCGUUUCAUGAACAGAGGCGAGUCAAGGUGAAAGUUUAAGAGCAAUGGUUUGGAGGGAAGACCGCAGCUGGCUUGGCAGAGGUGGCUUGAGCAGGGUAUGGCUUGCGAGGCGCCAGAAACGUGUUCUAUGGCAGAGAUUGACCACUCAUUAUCUAUUAUCUGGCUGUAAAGUAGAUAUAACUUUUCCCUUUCCUUCAUCAGAUCUUUCUCAGAGAAUACUUUUAUAACUUCAACUAACUUUCUUGUAAUAUCUUCUUCCCCUGUAUAAAGUAUGGAUGGAAAGAUGAAAUCUCAAUAGUCGGGAAUAGAUAUUGUAGGACUAAAAAUGUUGUAAACAAAACAUAGCAGAAGAGAUCAAAUUUGAACUACAACAUCUUCAUGAAGAAUUUGUCAAAAUCGUGAACAUUUUUUACAAAUUCAUGAACAUUCUCUUAAAUCGUGAACAUAUUUUUCAAAUUUGUGAACAUUUUUUGAAUUCAUGAGCAUUGUUUGACUCAUGAAUAUAUUUUAAAAUUCAUGAAAAAAUUUAGAAAUCAUGAAAUUUGUUAAAUUCAUCAACAUUCUUACAGAUUUGUGAAUAUUCUCUUGAAUCAUGAUUUUUUCUCGAAUUCAUGAACAUUUUCUUAGUUCAUAAACAAAUUUUAACUUCGUGAAUAUUUUUCACAAAUUCGUUAACAUUCUCUUAAACCGUGAACAUUUUUUAAAAUCAUGAACAUAAUUUGAAUUCACGAAUAUUUUUUUCAAAAUUUGCAACUAUUUUUAUAUUGAGAACUUUUUGAUAUCCUGCAUUAUUGAAAAAACAUAGGGAAAAAACUAAAGGAAAAAACAGGGAGGGUGCACGUGGGUCGCCGAAUAGGAGGGCCCACCAUGCCGCUAGGAUAAAUGUGGCCCAAUUCAACCAUUGGGUCUAACCCUACAUGUUUUUGGAAAAUGGGUUUGGCCCAGCACGGACUAUGAGACUACAAAAAGGAACUUAUCUUAUAUUGGAUCACACAACUUAGAUCGGUUUAUUGGUUAUGACUUGCAAGCCUAUGAUUGAGGGUGUCAGUUCGACCCAUACACAGGCGCCUGGGUGGGCGAAGAGUUUUUUAAAUAUAACCAUCAUGCCCUUUGUUAUGAAGGGAUAUGGUUUAAUCUCAGCCAUCAAUGUAUUUAGGGGUUGUACUGAAGAAGAAGUGUUAUUUGUUUUCUUUUGGCUUCAUCGAUAUGGAAUUAUUUAGUUUACUCCUGAUGUUUUCCUUUGACUAGCUAAAUAUCGAUGUUGCUACGGACAGAAAAUUUAGAUUAUCCAACAUGUUAUACAAUUGUCGUGCUUGAAGACGACAAUUGAUUCAUAUUGAUACUUCGCGUCAACAAUUUAGAUUAUCCAACAUGCCAAAUAAAUGGAGUUGUCGUGCUUGAAGAGGGCCAUUGAUUUUAUAUUAGUUCUCGACUGAGCACCCCCACAUCUGGCUACAAAUUGAUAUUUUCGCGGGUGUGUGCCCCCACAUCUGCGUGCCCCUGCAAUUUUUUGACCUAGAGGGCAGCGUUUUUCACGUCUGGAUUAGCAUCGUCCACCAAGCACUGACCGUCGAGGUGCGUUUUGUUGGCUAUUUCAUCGCUCCAAAGACGGUGAAAUGAUUUGCGUGUUUGAGUGAGCCGUUCACGUGAUGUUCGGCGUGGAAGCUUACAUCUAGUACAGUUCUCCGUGGAAGGCGGUCCGAGCCCAUUAUACGUUGGACGACCAUGCCAUCUACAACGGAAGUUGCUUCCUCUUUGACAACGUCCUCCCCAUCGAUCUACAACACCACACAAUGCCUACCGAAGGAGAUUUGUCACUAGUAUACCUCUAUGACGACACACCAUACGUUUAAUGAGCUGCAACUUAGGCUGCGUCUAAGCCUUUGAGCCCCACAACGAACUUCAGAUCGUCCCUGAGAUCAACUUGAUGGCAUCGACGCCCACCACUUUGUCAACAGGGUACAAAACCACGCCAUGUCCAUCGUGUCGGUGCCCAACUCAUUCACAUCACCUUUAUCCAUGACCACCUUUGACGUUGUCCUCGAGCCCGCUGCACCAAUGUGAAGCUAGGGAAUUGGAACAAUGUGGUACGACCGCAGGUGCGAGCUCAUGCGGUCAUACCACAUGUCGCCUUCUCAUGUAGACGACUUCUUGUGAUCCACUUUGUGCGGAACUAAACAUAUCUAUAACUAUUUCCUUAAUAUGGUCAUAUUUCCUUCAUAAUGUCCAUAUAUACAACAAACCAUUCAGAUAAGGAUAUUUGCACAUCUUUGUAUUAGUAAUUAGUAGUAAAGUUGAUGUAAUAAUCAUAGAACUAUUUGACAAUGUUAAUUUUAAACUAGAGAAAAAAUAUAAUUAUAAAAUCCAGUAAUCAGAGCUUGUGGGGUCGGUAUAGUAAACUCUUUGAACAGGACUAGAUCAUGAGCAUGGCGGGAGCAAGGAAGGAGACAGCGUAAUAUUCCUUGUUUUCCCGUGGGAUGCUUAUUUGACUUGACACAUUCUGAUAGCAGGAAAACCAUGUGAGCACUAAGGUGGCAAUGCUGAAAACAAGCUACCGUACAACCGGUUCCAUGGUUGCCUUCUUACUCGUUGUCUCAUCGGCCCUCAGACUAUUCAUCUGUGAGUCUUUGGUGCAAGAGAUGGUAGAAACUGUGGAGAAGAUACUUCGGCUAAACCAAGUCAACAUGUUGAUGCUCAUGUAUAAAAUUAUCAAAAAUUAUUGUUUUUUGCGAGUUGGAUUCUCUAGUCAGCCGCAUACCAGUAUAUCAAGCUUUUGUGCCAAUAUCUAUUUAUUGGGAAUCUUUUAGGGCCGCCCCACCCUAAUUUAAAUUUUAUACUAAGCUUUUAUACCUCCUUAAAUUUAUUUUUCUCAUACUUAUAAUUUUCAGCUUAUAAGUUGAUAUAGUUAAGCAUAUAAUUAUGUUAAUUACUAAAGAUUUUUAUAGUGUUAUUUGCUAUACAUUUGUAAUGUAGAUCAUUGCAUUUUUUUCCUUUGUGCUAAAUUUAAACAAUGUGUUUCAAAGCUCUCUUUGAAUUAAUUUUUACAAUUGCAUAAAUUUUAGUAUUAGUAUUAAAUAUCAUGGUAGAGAUCUCUACAAUCUAACUAAUAUCAUAAUAAGGAUAUCUAGACUAUUAUUUGAUAAGCAUAUUUAAAGAAACUUCUAGAAUAUGUAACCUCUGACAAACAUAAAAAACAAAUGAUUCUACUUUUGCAUAUGUACACCUUUUGCUGGCAAACUAAAACCCUUAUUAUAUUCCCAUAUUAUUAGGGAUAAAUCCCACAAGAAAGUACAUAUGUUACGACAACUAGCGACAAGAAAAUAAAAAAUAUACAAGCAUGCAUGCCACCAAGCAUGUGUACUACUACGUCUAAAACGUAUUUAUAUUGUUUGAUUUUUGUAAUGCUAUUAAAAUAUCAAUUUUGUAUAUUUUUUAUAGCAUUAUAUAUUAUUUUUCUGGACUAACCUAUUAAUCUAGUGCCUAGUGCCAAUUGCUAUUUUUUGCAUGUUUUCAAUUUUACAGAAAAUCCAUAUCUACGAAGGCCUAAAAAUCCUGACAAUUGAAUAAGAUUUUUUCGGGGCACGAAGGUUCCAGGAAGCAUCGGAGGGAAGCGAGAGGAGCCACCCCNNNNNNNNNNNNNNNNNNNNNNNNNNNNNNNNNNNNNNNNNNNNNNNNNNNNNNNNNNNNNNNNNNNNNNNNNNNNNNNNNNNNNNNNNNNNNNNNNNNNNNNNNNNNNNNNNNNNNNNNNNNNNNNNNNNNNNNNNNNNNNNNNNNNNNNNNNNNNNNNNNNNNNNNNNNNNNNNNNNNNNNNNNNNNNNNNNNNNNNNNNNNNNNNNNNCACCCCUAGGUUGUGUGGUGCCCACACUUACCGCCUUUUGUCCAUUCCACCGCCAUAAAUUCCUAUAAAUAGAGAAACCAUCCGAGAUAUUGUUAUAAGAUUUUUUCGCCGCCACAAGAUUCUGUUCCGAGGAGAUCCAAUCUAGAGGCAUGUUCCGCUACUCUCCCGGAGGCUUUUCCACAACCUUGCUACCUCCAUGACCAUGUGUAGUAGUUUUCUUAGGACCUUAGGGUCCAUACCAGUAGCUAGAUGGCCCUCUCUUUCUCUUUGAUCUUCAAUACCAAAUUCCCGUGAGUUGCCUCACAUGAUCGGGAUCCACCUGAUAUGAUUUGUGGAUGUGUUUUGUUGGGAUAUGAUGAAUAGUCACUUCAAGAUCAGAUUGUCCAUUGAAUACAAUUGAAUAUUUUGAGGAUUUCUUGCUGUAUAAUUAAAUAGCUUUGCAUGCUCUCCAAUCUAUCUAUUUUUUUGGCCAAGUUUGAUGGGUUUUCUUCGUAGAGACUGGUGCUUUGUAGUGGGUUCUAAUCUUGGAGUGAUCUAUCUAUAUCCCAAUGACAGAAUGGAGAGAAGACUCGUAUUGUAUUUUGCAACUAAAAAUAAAACAACGGUGUCUCAUCAUAUUGCUUAAUGUUUUCUUGUCUACAUUAUGUCAUCAUGCUUAUUGCAAUCCUCUAUUUUUGUAAACUUAAUACUUUGAUAUGCAUGUUGGAUAGCCGUCUUGGGGUGGAAUAUUAGUAGUAGAUGUAAUUUGAUUAACGGUUUACUUAUCAUGAACGUAAUGCCUAUAUGAGAUUAUACCAUGAAUGAUCAUAGUCAAAAAUAGCCAUGCUUGCGUGGGCGUUCAACACCACCAAUAUGAUGCCAGUGACAACAUCAUCUAUGGUUUUCUUUCGACAGAAACUAUACUCUACUACUCCCUCCAUCCCAAAAUAAAUGACUCAACUUUAUACUUGCUUUAGUAUAAAGUUAGUACAAAGUUGAGUCAAGUUAGUACAAAGUUGAGUCACUUAUUUUGGUAUGAGGGAGUACUAAAUUCCAGUCACCAGCUAUAUAUGCGCAUUAGGCAUUCAUGAGUGCGAAUUUCACGGCCAUAAUUCCUCGGAGCCUGAUGCAUCCGUAAUCAACACCAUGCUUGAAGCUGCAUCUACGGUCAGAACUGAAAACAAAUUUCUUUCUAGCAGUCAUAUUUUUGGAGGGUAUGGAUAAACUGAUCGAUACAGCUCAACAUAUACCAUAUUACAUUCAAGGUGUACGACGUUUUCUGUCAUAUUCUACUCUCGGCGACAGACACUGGAGCCAAAUCGAAAUGCUCCUCAAGCACCGACAGUACUUCGGGGAGUGAAGACACCAUGAAGUCAGGCUUAACAUCUUCAGGCAAAGAAUCGUGGGGGCCGUAUCGCCCAGUUUCGUCAAGUAGGCA
RNAcentral lists this long non-coding RNA (9440 nucleotides) under Triticum aestivum (bread wheat). RNAcentral describes it as "long non-coding RNA (TAES_LNC013788)". Lineage: Eukaryota; Viridiplantae; Streptophyta; Magnoliopsida; Poales; Poaceae. The record is from RNAcentral.